Molecule: long non-coding RNA, 1036 nt
Organism: Neofelis nebulosa (Clouded leopard)
Lineage: Eukaryota; Metazoa; Chordata; Mammalia; Carnivora; Felidae
Exons: 3
Source: RefSeq, a predicted model, not a curated record
GUUCUAGCCAGGGGCACGUAAGUAGAAGUAUCAUGUAUAAUGUCUAGAAAGAUCAGGCUGCCUAGAGUGUGGGCAUGAUGGCUGGAUAUCCAACAGCCAUUUCAGACCAUGAGGCAGAAGCCACAUGGAAGAUGGCAGAGCAAGAGGAUAGAAGGAGCUUGACUUCCUAAUGAUGAUGGAAUUUCCUGUGAUUUUUCAGCUGAGUCUAAUGCUAAUUAAAGCAACUAAAAGUUUGUCAAGAAGACUGAAAACCAGUUUGCUAAGUAGGAGUUAAUUAUAUUUAAUUAAAAAUAGAUGCUUGAAGUUACUUUUCACCAUGUCCAUCGAGACACUCACUUCUGCAUUAUGGGUCCAGAAAACCCUGUGAGGAUGAACAAGUGUCACUUGAGAGUGCACGAUGCAAGCAGUGCACGGAUUGAUCGCUAAGACUGUCCAGUGUGCGGAUGCCUCCCAGAAAAUAGCAGGGCUUUGAGAAGCAGGAAGGAACUCAGCAGGGAUAUGGAAGUCUUCUUUGAAAGAAGUGUGGUUCCUGCUUCUGCUCAGGACAGGGAAUGAGUUGGAAAAUCUUAACUUAAGGAGCACCCAGGACUUUGAAGAAGCUUUGAAUAAUUUCUUUGUUGUCAUUGCUUCAUGCUUCACUUCUUUGGGUGAUGCUCUGAAAGCGCAUUGGUCAAUAUUCGGGUAAAUAUGUUAAAAUGAUUGAUAACAUGAUAUUGGAAAAUCACCAAAUUAUUUCAAAGGUAAAUGGAAUGUUAGAGUUCCAUGCCAAGAGUUUUACUUAAACAUACUUUUUUAUCCUGUCUGAUGCUUUUGAUAUAAUUAACCUGUUAUUGUUAUAAAAACAAAGUUACAUUUUUUCCAAACACCUUCAUGUUCAUUUCAACUUUUCGAAAGGAAAGAGGUAAGUCUUAGAAAACCAUCUUUUAAAAAUAAUGUUGCUUUAAAAUCGUUUCACUUUGUCUAGUCCUUCAAUGUCAUCUUUUGUUUCACAGUAAAGAAAAAACUCCUCUUUAUUAAAAAAAGAUUUUUUACUAGA